AUACGACCAUGAGUAUCUUGUCUUGCAAUGGUCUGAUAUUUUAUCAUGUUAUUUUUAUAUAGGUUUCAGUCUCUAAAAUACUUUUUUAUGUAGGCCUAUGAGGCCUGUGGUGAAAUAGAUUAUAUAUGGUACCUGCUAUUACACAAAAUUCAACAUAAAUACAACCAUAAUACAGUAUUUGCAAGCUCUGUGGCAGUCAGGAACAUGUGGCCUGAAAUGUAAAUACCUUAGGCAGGUGCUGACCACAUUUGUUUCACGGCCGGGCAUGCCGCAGUCAUUCGUAGCAGCAGGAUGCCGAAUAAUUGAACACUGACCAAAGAGGAAUAAACUCCUCCUCCAUGCCCUGACCAAUAUUUAAAAUCAACACAAUAAGGGUUCUCCGACUCACAGACCACACUUUGUUGGCGAUGCUUAUAAUUAAUAGCCCCAUGUUGUUACAAAUUAAAUCAUGCAAUUUAAUCUGAUCAGCGAAAAAGCAAACUAUAGCCACUGCAAAAACUGGCCAUUCUCCCGUCUACAACGGAAAAGAAUAAUACAUUACACUUCAAUAAUAUGGUACAUGCUACGUACUUAUAUAAUACAAUGUCAAGUUUCUCCGAAGUAAUGGCGGCACCAGCCGGUGGUCGACGUCAGAGGGUAACUUACCCCACCCCGGACAAUCAUGGAGGCCCGUCGUCGAUAAAUCAACUUUCGUCGGACGGAAAAUGGUACCUUGCCGAUCUAAACAAACUUAUUUAAUUGCCAAUUUGUAACAUUUGGUUUAGAAGCACAGUUUUGAGUUUUGAUUCUAAACCAUAAAAUCUUUCCGCAUGGACCACCAGGCAUUUUAUUCCAGGACCCAUGCAAUGUUUGUCUGUAAGCUGCCUCUUUGUUCGCACUUCAGCUUCUACUUCUGGUUUAGGCUUCAGGCCUUGGGAAGUCUGCUUGAUAUGUACUUUAAUCUAAUUUGUAUUUUGAUAUACAGUAGAUAAGGUUAACUUCUGAUAAUUAUUUAUAUAUUACAAUGCAUUAUGGUUGUCAUGUUUAAGGUACUAAAGUACUUUCAUGCAUUGUUUUAAUGUCUUAUUUGAUGCUGUUCUAUUGACUGUUGCGUACCCUUUUUGUCGUUAUUAAAAUGACAUUAAUCUUUA
This is a long non-coding RNA of Anneissia japonica, 1130 nucleotides long. RefSeq lists it as uncharacterized. The transcript has 2 exons. The record is from RefSeq and is a predicted model, not a curated record. Lineage: Eukaryota; Metazoa; Echinodermata; Crinoidea; Comatulida; Comatulidae.